RNAcentral lists this ribosomal RNA (253 nucleotides) under uncultured bacterium. RNAcentral's name for it is "partial 16S ribosomal RNA". It matches the Rfam family "Bacterial small subunit ribosomal RNA", at positions 524 to 776 of the family's 1533-position model. The record is from RNAcentral.
UACGGAGGGUGCAAGCGUUAUCCGGAUUCACUGGGUUUAAAGGGAGCGUAGGUGGGGUGGUAAGUCAGUGGUGAAAUCUCCGGGCUUAACUCGGAAACUGCCGUUGAUACUAUCAUUCUUGAAUAUUGUGGAGGUAAGCGGAAUAUGUCAUGUAGCGGUGAAAUGCUUAGAUAUGACAUAGAACACCAAUUGCGAGGGCAGCUUACUACACAGUUAUUGACGCUGAGGCACGAAAGCGUGGGGAUCAAACAGG